GACGAACGCUGGCGGCGUGCUUAACACAUGCAAGUCGAGCGGUAAGGCCUCUUCGGGGAUACACGAGCGGCGAACGGGUGAGUAACACGUGGGUGACCUGCCCUCAGCUCUGGGAUAAGCCUGGGAAACUGGGUCUAAUACCGGAUAUGACCUUUCCUCGCAUGGGGUUUGGUGGAAAGUUUUUUCGGCUGGGGAUGGGCCCGCGGCCUAUCAGCUUGUUGGUGGGGUGAUGGCCUACCAAGGCGACGACGGGUAGCCGGCCUGAGAGGGCGACCGGCCACACUAGGACUGAGCCACGGCCCAGACUCCUCCGGGAGGCAGCAGUGGGGAAUAGUGCGCCAUGGGCGGAAGCCUGAAGCAGCGACGCCGCGUGGGGGAUGACGGCCUUCGGGUUGUAAUCCUCUUUCGACCCCGACGAAUUUGGACGGUAGGGGUAGAAGAAGCACCGGCUAACUACGUG
RNAcentral lists this ribosomal RNA (460 nucleotides) under uncultured bacterium. RNAcentral describes it as "partial 16S ribosomal RNA". It matches the Rfam family "Bacterial small subunit ribosomal RNA", at positions 28 to 507 of the family's 1533-position model. The record is from RNAcentral.